CGACAAGUAUGGUGAAUGCUCAAACUUUUAAAAAAAUUAUCAUGAUAAAGGACCCUUUGCCAUGAAUUCCCCUCCUUGCUUCAGAUACACUGAUCGCAUCAUUCUUGCCACUUUCUGAAGCAGUUCUGGAGUCCUCUUUUGUGAGUAUUUUUAGUUGCUCUGUUGUGGCUGCCUCGAUGUCCUGAAUUGAUUGAAAAUGUCUCCCUUUCGUGGUCAUUUUGACUUUGAGAAAGAGCCAGAAGUCACAUGGUGCAAAGCCGGUGAAUAAGGUGGAUGAGGAUGCAGCGUCAUGUUUUAAGGAGCUGCCUUUGUGCUGCAUGGCAGACAGCGGCUGCAUUCUCUGUAUUUUUGAUCACACCUCAUACAGACAGCUUCAGAAAGGGGCACGGAUGAUGGGAUGAGGGUCUUGAAAGUGAAGGGGUCUUUUGAGGGGAAUUGAUGGUAAUGUGUCUUUCACUAUAAUACUUUUAAAAUUCACUCACAUACCAUAAGUUCCGAUCAUGCUUUGUAUCAGUUAAACUGUGCUUUUUAGGUAUGGGGCUCCUGCCCCAAAUUCUGUGCACAUUUCUGAAGCUGAUGUUCAUAUAGUUAGGAGGUGGAGAGCUCUCAAGCCUACUUUGCAGUUCCACAAACCCACCCUCAGGCCCGCUUCUCUCCAGGGUCUUGUGUGAGGGACGUCCAAAGCUCUCCUGGAUGCUGGAGCUUCCCUUUGUCCCUUGUCUGGGACGACAUUAGAGCGGGGGGCAUUACAGUGGCGUAGAAAGAGUGUGCUGAUUUCUUUGCUCUAUAAAAUACUCCUUAUAAACCGUAAAGUGAAAUAUUUACAUUUUACAUCCCCAGAUGUGCUGGUGGGUAGAGUGAAGUGAGCUGGUAGAUUUCCAAAUCCACAAAGCUUGGGGGAAUCUGGUUUUGUUCCACCAGGUGCAAACUGCUCCUCAGGGUUCGGGGAGCGGCAUUUCAUGUCUGACUUCUUGGUGGGGGUGGCAGAGCCUCCCAGCGGGGGACAACUUGGACCCAGGCUCUGGGUGACAGUCACUCAGGGUCUUAGUACCUCGGACGGAGAAAAAGUUUAUAUGUAUAAAAUUAAUUUUUCUGUUUAUUUGGAAAGGAAUUUGGAAGGCACGUAACUUCUAAAAAUUUCCAUUUACAACUGGUUCAUUUUCUGAGCUGCUACGAAGACCGAGCAAACACCUUGUCAGUGUUUAAUCCCAAACUGAUAGCUAUAGCUUGGAAAGGGGAAAACAGGUCUGAUUUAAUAAGCCAAGAGAUAAGCCAAACACCCACAAAUGCUAAUUUACAGCUGCAAAGGCCCCUGCUUUAAAAUCAUCCUCAUGAAUCACAUGUUUCUGAAGAAGUAACUGUGCAUCUGAAAAAUUAUGUUCUUUGGUAAUGCCCCAGGCAGCAUGUUUUGGCCACCUCACCCCAGUAAGUUGUAAGUAACCCGCUCCUUUCUACUUUUAAUUUUUGAGAUUAGCUGCUUGCCACCAGCCCUGCUUUCCUGGCCACUGUCACCUGGCAGGGGUGUGUUGGGGCGGGGACUCCAGCUGCCUGUGUGGGCCUCCCUUCCGGUCCAGUGGUGCUGCUGCUCUGUCCCAGAGGCUCAGCGGGUCACCGUGUGGACAGGGACAGGGAGCUGCCCCUGCUCCACCCACGCAGUCUCUCCCUGUGGGGUUAGGCUAGGGGCAGGUGGCCGGAGGCCCCUCGUGCAGCCUCUUCCCUGCAUCUGUCUGGAGGAAGGGCACUGCAUAACUUGGGUCUGAAUCUUGUCCCCAGGACCACGGGGUUAAAGACUUGGUUGGUGCCUGGGGUGCCACCAGGAGGCAGAGCCUCAUGGAAGGAGGUUAGGUCAUCAGGGCCAUGUCCUUGAGGGGAUACGGGGCCCUAACCCUUCUCUCCUCUCUCCGUAUUCCGGCUGCCGGGAGGCGAGCAGCUCCCUGUACCACAGGCUCCAGCCGUGAUGUACUGCGCUGCCGCAGGACCAGAGCGCAGCGCCAGAGACCAGGACUGGAGCUCUGAAACCGAGAGCCAAAAUAAACCCUUCCUCCUCAUCUUGUGCUUGUCUCAGCCCAGGCUGGCCUCAAACCCACGGUGAUCCUCCCACCUCAGCCUCCAGAAUGCUGGUUAUGGGUGUGUGCCACUACACCCAGUGAGAUUUCUUCAUAGAAGAACACUGCUGGCCUUGAACUCAUUAUGUAGCCCACAUGGCCUCAAACUCAUGGAAAUCCUGCUGCCUCAGCCUUCCGAGUGCUGAUAGUACAGUGCUGGAGGCUGGAAGUUCAAGAUCAAGGUGCAAGUAGGACCAGGUUCCUCUGAGUCCUGGCUUCUUGGGUUGCAGGUGGUCACCUUCCUGCUGCCUGUAUUGUUUAAAGAAUGAAGCAACAACUCCACUAUGCAGGAAGGUGCUUUGGCAUUGGGUUCUUUGUGGGCAGAGUGGCCUCUCUCUUUUCUAUCAGGUAGAUGGUCCUGUCACCCACACUGGCUUCUUACUCUGUUGUGACCCUUUUUCAAUUUCAACACAGAAGACUUCCCCAUCCUUGAUUCCCAGGGCCCGGCACCGUGUGACUUCUGGCUCUUCCCCGAAGCAGGAUGACAAUGCAAGGUAAACAUUCUGAAUCAACUCAGGACAUCAAGGCAGCUAUAACAACACAACUCAAGACAUCCAUGAAAGAGGACUCCAGAACUGCUUCAGAAAGUGGUUCUAAGGAAUGAAAAACACUAACCCUGCAAUCCUUAUCACCAAGAACUGUGCACCCUAGUGACAUGUAAAGUUUCCUUCAACACUUUUAGGGUCAAGGUUCUAGCAAACAAAAAGGACAAAGAAAGAAAAGUAGAGCAAAAGAUGUUGUUUCUGUUGCUAAGAUUUCAGGAGAAGGGAUCAAACUGAGGACCUUGUGCUCGCGAGGAUCACACUGAACAGAGCAAGGAGCCCCCCGAAGUGCCUGCCCACUGCUUGUGCCCACCUCUGCCAGUCCAUCUUGGUCCCACUGAGGCUCCAGUGCACUUCAUCCUCAUGGGAGAGCCAACUACUCCUGGUCUAGGGUGUGGAUGUUUGAGCAGACCAUCUUCCUUAGAAGCUCAGAGUGUGGUGGGGAAGUUCAUGGUUAUAGCAGGGUAGAAGUUGAAAGAGCCUCUGAGGCUGGCUUUGGAAAGGGAAGAUGAGCUGUGAAAUAGUCUACAAGAAUGGCCAUGGUGGCCAGAAUGAGAAGUAUUGUCAGAGUCACGUGGGACUUUGAACAUUACCGUGUGACACAUGGAACUACUGAGCACUUGCUAAGGACACCCGGUUUACCUUCUCCAUCUCGUUUAACUCUUUCAAGAAAUGAGAGAGACACACGUGGGACCACUACAUGCCUCUGCUCAAGAAUUGUGCAUUGCAACUGGGGAUGCCAGAGCUUUCCCGGUGAAAACAUCACCAUUUAAAAAUGCCAUCAUCCAAAUGUAUUUCCUGCUCAUUGGGGCCAAGCAAGAACAAUUAUGUGGUUCUACAGCACCAUGGGAACCCAACUCUCGCUGUGUUUCUGGCCAGCAUGAACAAGCUCUAUGGCCUUUCCUGUCUCCAAAAAACAAAAGCCUACAUGCAAGAAUUCUUUUGUUUGGAGACAGGAUCUUGCUCUGUAGCUCAGUCUGGCCACAAACUCGUGGCAAUCCUCCUGCCUCAGCCUCACAAGUGCUGGGAUUACAGGCCUGUGCCACCAGCCUGGCUUCGUGCAAGAAUUCUUAUUCAUAAGCUACAGUUUAUAAAGUUUUAUCAAGUGCCAACAUUAAAACCCAAUUUACUUAUUUCCCUUCAA
This 3791-nucleotide long non-coding RNA is filed under the name Heterocephalus glaber (naked mole-rat). RNAcentral's name for it is "lncRNA (ENSHGLG00100052077.1)". The record is from RNAcentral. Lineage: Eukaryota; Metazoa; Chordata; Mammalia; Rodentia; Bathyergidae.